Molecule: ribosomal RNA, 478 nt
Filed under: uncultured bacterium
Lineage: Bacteria
Description: partial 16S ribosomal RNA
Rfam family: Bacterial small subunit ribosomal RNA
Source: RNAcentral
GACGAACGCUGGCGGCGUGCUUAACACAUGCAAGUCGAACGGUAAGGCCCUUCGGGGUACACGAGUGGCGAACGGGUGAGUAACACGUGGGUGAUCUGCCCUGCACUUCGGGAUAAGCCUGGGAAACUGGGGCUAAUACCGGAUAGGACCACUGCCUGCAUGGGCGGGGGUGGAAAGCUUUUGCGGUGUGGGAUGGGCCCGCGGCCUAUCAGCUUGUUGGUGGGGUGAUGGCCUACCAAGGCGACGACGGGUAGCCGGCCUGAGAGGGUGACCGGCCACACUGGGACUGAGAUACGGCCCAGACUCCUACGGGAGGCAGCAGUGGGGAAUAUUGCACAAUGGGCGCAAGCCUGAUGCAGCGACGCCGCGUGAGGGAUGACGGCCUUCGGGUUGUAAACCUCUUUCAGCACCGACGAAGCGCAAGUGACGGUAGGUGCAGAAGAAGGACCGGCCAACUACGUGCCAGCAGCCGCCGUAA